GAAAAUCUAAACCUUUAUUUGAACAUACCAUAAUGUUAUCUACCUAAUACUUUAUGUAGUAACUUAAAUGUUUUUAAAGGAGUCAAAGGAGGAAAUGCACAGAGACAUGACAUGAGAACUGGAUACACGUGAAUUAGACAAAGUAGUAGCUAGGUGGUGGGGUGGAGAAGUGAUCAGGAACACAGAAAUUAUUCUAAUUAAGUCGUUCAUAAAUAUAGACUACGUCUAUCCUCAAUUGUUAUUCUUAAAUAUUUCUUUCUCUACUAGGAAUAUUCCUCAAAAAAAAAAUCCACCCUAUCUUUUGAAACAGGUUGUCAUGUUUCCUGAUUCUUCUACCUCUACUUCCCAAGUGCUAAGAGCUGAGGAAACAGGCACCCUCCAGCCACUCUCAGGAGAUGCUGAACAGAAGGCCCUCCUCGUGCCUGCCUAGGGUUUCUCUGUGUAGUCCUAGAUGUCCUGGAAUUCACUUUUUAGAGCAGGCUAUCCUCCAACUCAGAGAUCCACCUGCCUCUGCCUCCGGAGUGCUGGGAUUAAAGGUGCACCACCACCACCUGGCAAGAAUUUUCUGUGUAGCGUGGAGAGCUGUACACUUCUACAUACACCGUAAGUGUUUGGGAUUGGCUUUAUGUUACUUUUUGUGAUUUAUUUUGUACUUUUUAUGAUAAGAAAUAAUAUUGUGCUUACAGGAAAUCAAGGCCCAUAUCCUUCAAUGUUACCUGCUUAGAUCUCUGAGCUUACGUCCUUGACAACAGGAAAUGAAAGCAGUGGGAAUGCCCGGAGCGUGGAAAACAUUGAGCAGAAACAAUGUUACCGAUAACAUGAACCACAGUAUCUUGGAUGUAUGUUACAGCUUUAAUGACCAAGCCAGCUCAACCAGUCAACAGGGUCUCGAGGGAGGGAAUGAGGAUGAAAAUAAAAAGAGACAAUUAGACAACAUUAUAACAUGACUCCAGCCAGUGCUGAAUCAGGUUUGUUUUUUCCCAGGCUGCUUUUUUUUAUCACUCCAGGUACAUGCAAAGAAUAGGGUCAGCUCCCAAAGACAAAGUAGUCAGGGAACAAACAGUAGUAGUAGUAGUAGUAGUAGUAGUAGUAGUAGUAGUAGUAGUAGUAGUAGUCAAGGCAAUAAACAAAGUCCCAUGGUCACUGUGUCUAGGGGUUUAUCAGGACGACCAAGAUACAAGGAAUACAAUACAACCCUCUGCUGUAUUCAUCUUGAGCCUUGUCCUAGCCCAAUGUAAAUGCUCUUGCCAAUAUCCUUGAAGCGGCAUCAAGGGCUCUCCACCCUUUAAGCAUCAUUUUAAGUUGAUAUUAGAUCCAUAAAGAAGUAGUGAAAGGAAAAUUAUACAGAUUUGAGGUUUAAAAAUAUGAAGUUAAAAGAAUAAGUUUUAAAUUCAGACUCAGGGCUA
This is a non-coding RNA of Rattus norvegicus (Norway rat), 1406 nucleotides long. Lineage: Eukaryota; Metazoa; Chordata; Mammalia; Rodentia; Muridae. The record is from RefSeq and is a predicted model, not a curated record.